This 422-nucleotide ribosomal RNA is filed under the name uncultured bacterium. RNAcentral's name for it is "bacterial SSU rRNA". It matches the Rfam family "Bacterial small subunit ribosomal RNA", at positions 355 to 774 of the family's 1533-position model. The record is from RNAcentral.
UGGGGAAUUUUGGACAAUGGACGGAAGUCUGAACCAGCCAUGCCGCGUGGAGGAUGAAGGCCCUCUGGUUUGUACACUUCUUUUAUUUGGGACGAAACACUCUUUAUCUAGAGAGCUUGACGGUACCAGAUGAAUAAGCCCCGGCUACCUCCGUUCCAGCAGCCGCGGUAAUACGGGGGGUGCAAGCGUUAUCCGGAUUCACUGGGUUUACAGGGUGCGUAGGCGGAUUUGUAAGUCCGUGGUGAAAUCUCUAAGCUUAACUUGGAAAUUGCCGUGGAUACUAUAAGUCUAGAAUAUUGUGGAGGUUAGCGGAGUAUGUCAUGUAGCGGUGAAAUGCAUAGAUAUGACAUAGUACACCAAUUGCGAAGGCAGCUGGCUACACAACUAUUGACGCUGAGGCACGAGAGCGUGGGGAUCAAACA